Calidris pygmaea (Spoon-billed sandpiper) is the source of this 108-nucleotide ribosomal RNA. The record is from Ensembl. Lineage: Eukaryota; Metazoa; Chordata; Aves; Charadriiformes; Scolopacidae.
CCCAAAGGUUCCCUCAGAAUGGUUGGAAAUCAUUCGCAGAGUGUAAAGGCAGAAGGGAGCUUGACUGCGAGACCUACAAGUCGAGCAGGGACGAAAGUCGGGCUUAGU